AUUGGCAACCCUUAGGAGGAAAGAGAUGAAUCACAAGGGAUUGUGGAAUCAUUAGAAAUUGAGGAUUAGAACAUCCGACAUUAAAAUGUCUCAGUGCAGCAGAAUUUCCCAGCGACUUCGGUGGCGGGAGAGCAGCACCUCUCAGGCACAGCUGUGCGCAUCCCUCGGGCCCCACCGACCGCACCAUCUGACCGCGGGAAACGAAAUCUGAGCUCAGGAAUUUGAACUGCCCCACGCACGUUCGUUCCCGGAUAAAUCUCCUAGAGGACCGUGAUUUUUCCACUUAGAGAUUAUUUAGGGAGAUGUCCUGGAUGGGACAAGUAGACAAAUGGCGGCCCGAGGAAAAUGCAGGAAACUCUACAUUGUAGACGCUUAAGCACCAACUGUCUGGGCCCCGGGGCAGGGAACGGGAGACAUUAUCCACCGGAAACAUCACACCCCCGGGGCUCCUGGCAUUUUCUACAUCAGUGAAUGUGCCAGCGAAGAAGAGUGUGGGGAAAUUUUCUGAACAUAGAAUUCAUAUUCCUGAAACGUUAAGUCGUGAAGUGGGUGCUUCAGCUGUCCCCCAGCUUUAGGAUUUUAACCCAGCUUUGGUUUUGAUCACCGAGAGUUAUUCCUUAUAAUCAAAUCAGCAAAAGCGUUCAAUUACCUAUUACUGGUUGAGAAAGAUUCCGUUCCCCCAGCUCAUUGUAUCGGUUCUUGGACCCAAGAUGUUAAUUAUCGGCCAGGCAUUCACAGGGGGUUAAUAUGGCCCCCCUCGACACCUUGCCUCGUACCAGAGACACCAAAAGCUGCCGCUGAGGGAUAAUAGAGAAUGGGAAAAGCUGGUCAUGAAAAACCUCUUUUAUUCUUACUUGCAAGCUACCCUUUUGACAUUCUUUUUUUAACACUAAAUGGAGAUUACUGAAUUGAUAACUUUUGGGUUUUCUCUGUCACACUGGGGUUUUUUUCCCCCCGUUUGUUUGUAAGGUUUUUUUGGUUUU
Molecule: long non-coding RNA, 983 nt
Organism: Homo sapiens (human)
Lineage: Eukaryota; Metazoa; Chordata; Mammalia; Primates; Hominidae
Product: long intergenic non-protein coding RNA 1415
Source: Ensembl